Molecule: non-coding RNA, 6908 nt
Organism: Microcebus murinus (gray mouse lemur)
Lineage: Eukaryota; Metazoa; Chordata; Mammalia; Primates; Cheirogaleidae
Source: RefSeq, a predicted model, not a curated record
CACCCCCAUCCUGGCUUUAGCAGCUUGCUUCAUCACCUCCUGCCCAAUAUAGAUUCACAAAGCCACCACCUUCUGACUCAAGGAUUAUAGAGUUUCUCAAAAUAAGUUGCACUGAACAACUGCUGUACUCAGAAACAGACUGAGUGGAAAUUCCAAGGGCCUGGGACAAGGUUCCUAUUCCCUUAUGCUUAAGCUCCUGCCCCUGUGCCCCCAUAGGAGCCUCACCAGGAAGCAAAUAGAAAGAACAAGUUUUUCCAACCCUGAUUUCCAUUUUUGCAUCAAAGAGAAGUUGGUCUAGGUCAAUACACUUAAGCCCUUUUAUAAUAGUGAAACUCUGCAAAUACAGUCUCCUAUAAGUUCAUGAAUAUAACUGGCCAAACUCAGCAGCUGUGAUUGAAUUGUGAAGCAGGGAGAGGUGUGUGGCUGGGCCGCACUCCCUCUGUCCCAUCUCUGUCUCUCUCUUUUGUGGGCCUGGAUGAGCUAUAAGAAUUCCUUCUGUCAUAGCUCAAGCAGAGCAGUGUGAGGCUCAGAAAGCCCCAGCAGAAUGGGACAUGCUGAACAGAGCCAGGACCUGAUAAUAAACUGCACAUGGGCAGGUCUUCCCACCUCAUGUAGCAUUGCACAAUGGGAGCCAGGCCACCCUGAGCAUUCAAGCCUGUGAGUGUGUGUCUUGGUGUGUGUGGGGGUGCCAGAUGGCUUCAGCUGAGAGGAGAGAAGCCUUCAAGGCCAGGAACCCAGGUAGGGCCAGAGACCAUGAGCAGUUUGGUGUGGCCAGAGCAAAACUAAAUAGAUAGGAAGCCAUGAAGGAUCCAGCUAAUGGAUCCUUGAAGGUCAGUAUGGGAGGUCUGGACUCAAUCGAAUGGGCAAUAGGGAACCUCUGUAACUCUCUGAGCAGGAGAAUAUCUCCUGAAAGGACCUCCAAAGAAUAAAGUCUGUGCUCACAUAUAAUCAGCUCUACAGAGGCACAUGUCUGGAAUAUAAAAACCUUUAAAGAGUACCUCACGGUGUCUCUUGAAUUCCUCCCUUUCUUUGUGUUGUCACUGCCCUGUCUAAGUUUCGAUGCCCCAAACAUUCCACCUAGGCUUUUGCUCAGCCUUCUUCCUGGUGUGCACCUUCCAUUACCCAAGAUGAGUCCAUCCUCCACACUGAUGCUGUAGUGAUUUUCCUGAAACACAACCUGGUCUAUUAUGGCACUCCCUCCUUCAGCUCCUUCAGUGGAUCAGUGGAGUGAAGUCCAAACUCCUAAGCCUGCCUUUCCAAGUCCUUCACAAAUACACCACAGCCUCCCUUUCCAGCUCAGCCCUUCCCCAGGCCCCAGACCUCCCCACCUCCCUAGCUGACUCACGCUGGGCCUCCCUUACCUCCUCCCAGAGGCUUCUGUUGAAGAUCUUUUAUUCCUUAAGGCCCAGUUCUAAUCUCAUGUCCUUAGAAACCCCUUUUAAGAUCCUCUAGUUUGAAAUAGUCUCUCAAGCCACUAUGUUUGUAUAUCGUGUAUCUAUUCUAGCACUUAUCUGUCUGCCUAGUAUCAGAGUUAUUUAUAAAUGUCUGUUCCUCCUAUUAUGUUGUGUACACUUAGAAAGCAAAAAUAGAGUUAACAAAAGAAAUGCUUGAUGAAUUUCUUGUAUUGGCUAGCAGAGUUUAUAAAAGUUUUUUGGAGUAGUUCUAUAGAUAUUCCAGAAACUAAGAGCAGCCUUCUUGAACCCAGGACAUGCCGAUGUUUCAGGACUCACACAGUUCCUACUCCUUGUUCUAUGGUAGGUGAAGUUAGCACUAGAUAAGAAAUGCCACCCCACAUAAGCCAAGAAUCUCCCACACCCCUCUCAGCCCAGUGUUGUGUCUCACAGUGGAGCCAGGCUGGCGAUUUGGGGAAAGGCAUGGUGUCAAUAUCAAAACAAUAGGACGUCAUCCACCAUACCGCCUUAGUCCCUUUACUUCUACUCCCAAUCUGUCAUCUGAGGCUGACACACUGCUUAGUCUGUGAAGACUCUGGAGGAACACAGGCAUUUAGCAAUGGAGGCAAAUGGUUAUUUAAGAGAAAAAGCAGCCAUUUGAGAUCAUUUAUUGAGAAUGCUUAUAUGUCAGGCUCUGGACCAGAGACUGUGGGUGACACAACCUUGAAAGGUUAAGUGCAAGUCAGGACGGCAUACAGCCGACAGACAGGUUGUGUUCCUGAACCAUGUUCAUUGAAACUUAAAAUGUUUGCUUCAGAGAAACUUAUGAAUAGGAGAGUGAAGCUUCCAGCCUAUUCCAAAGGAGCAGAUGUUAACUCACAAUGUAACUAACUAUAGUACCUUAACACUACAGAACUCAAGCAGCCUUAAAAUCUGAUUCCUAUAGAAAAAGUCAUUCUGUAUUCCAAUACGGAAUGCCAUCUCCUCCAAGUACAGCCCCAGCCACAAGCUUGAAGGUCCUCUCUCCUGCACAGGGCCCCUACAGUGGCAGCCGGUAUACAUGGCAGAGAAGGAGAGUCCCUGAAGUUUCUAGUGUUUAAAGUGGGUGCCUAAGUGACCCUAGCAACAAGGAGGAGAGGGGAGUUCGAAUGCUUCCUUCAGAGAUGCAGCAGAAAGCAUACUGACUCAACUUACCCAAUCAAGAGGGGUCUAAUCUCCUGAGGAGAAUUUCCAAGCUUCAAGGAAGAAAUGUGCUUGCAUGGGACAGCUUCAGAACCUCCCCAGGUGCCUGUCAGAGUGGUGCUGGAAGCCCUUUGGUCUCUCCCCGUAGGGGCUAUAGAGAACAAGGCAUUCUCAGCAGAAGCCCCUCAUGAAACAAGCUGCUUUCCUCCAGCGAGUGUUCUAGCUGCCUUUUUAUAUGCAGUGGAGAGGUACCACACAUGCGAAGGGAUAAUGUGACGGUCCUUUAGAACUUCUCCGGAAAGGAUCUCAGUAGACAUGUGUUGCUGACAUACAGAACUCCUUGAAGACAAGGACCAUGACUUAUUUGCCAUUAUAAUCCCACACAGUGUUUGGCAUAUGGUAGUUGGUGCAGGGAAACAGAGCACACUGCACCCAGGAGCAAGGAGACCACUGCAGAGCCCCAAGAGCAGGAAAAGCUGGAGACCAGCAACAUCCACUGCUCAGACAGUGUGGGAAGCACAAGUGUCUUGGGCAAAGGACCUCAGAACAGGAGCUCAGGGGGACCAUGCGAUGACUGAUGGAGGAAGCUGAAGGAAAGCGCGCUGGACAGGAAUAAAACAUAAAGAUGGCUUCUGAUCCUGGAGGCGAGGUCUUUCUAUCAAGGGGGCAUCGAGGGUCAGACUCUUACUCCACUGACACAUGAGGGCACAUCAUUGAUGCUCUGGGCUGGGGUGAGGAUGCAUGUGGUUUGGUGGAGACCUAAGAAAGAAAGGGAAAUCAAGGAAAAGACACAGAAAGACUCCCAAUUGUGUAGGGGACACACUAGCCUCUUGAGAUUUCCCUGGUCUCCUCUCCUGUAAUACCUGGUGCCUCGAUGACUCCACCAAGGAAUAACAAACACUUAGAUAUAGUUGUUCUGUCCUGGUCAAACUUGUGGCCAGAGUUGCCCUCAAAGGCGUCAGCUGAGGAGUUCCUACAAGAUACUUUCCCAAAUCGUCCUGGGAGGAGGGAGGUUGGGAUGCCAAAGAAAGAAGGAAGCUCUAAAUGCCAGGGUGAUAGAUCCAAAGCAUUUGCUGUAUUAGGGUAACUUCCAUACAGCAUCCUUACAAAGGAACAGUGAGACAAGGGAUGCUCUAUCUAGGUAUGUCCACAAUGAGGGGGUCGGGGUAUGGAGUUAAUAUGAGGACUUAAAGAAUUUGGCUCAGGUCUGGGGCUAGUUUCUUUCAGUGUUUUGGGCAAAAACACCUUUAUCAGUGCCUGGGAAUGUUCAAGGCCCCAGUUUGAGUUCAAGCCUGCAGGGAAAACACUCACUGGCCAGGUCACAGCGCAGUGAAGGCACUCUGUGUUUCUCGGUCAGGACAGACAAAAGGCAGGGGAGCUGGGCAUCCUACGCUAGUGUUUCUUCUAUUCCAGGCACCAGCUUAAACACUUUACAUAAAUACAUAUACAUGUGAAGUGUUUACCUAUAUGUACAUAUAAACUCACUCUUUCCUCAUGACGACCCUGUGAGUAGGUCCUAUUAUUAUCCUCAUUUUAUAGAUAGAGAAACGGAAUCACAGAGAGGUUAAGUAACUUGACCAAAGUCAUACGAUUAGUAAAUAGCAGAACUGGCAUUCAGAUCCAAGCAGUCUGGCUCAGAGUCCAAAUGUGGUAUAUGUACACAAUGGAAUACUAGUUAGCCACACAAACAAAUGAAAUCCUGUCAUUUGCAACAGUAUGGAUGAAAUUGGAGGACACUGUGUUAAGUGAAAUAAGCCAGGCAAAGAAAAACAAAUGCCACAUGAUCCCACUCAUGUGGAAUUUUAAAAAGUUGAGCUCAUAGAAGUAAAGAAUAGAGGUUAUCAGAGGCUAGGGGAAGUGGGGUUUAAGUAGAGAUUGGACAAUGUUUACAAUGUUACAGUUAGAUAAGAGAAAUGAAUUCUGGUGUUCUAAUGCACAGUAGAGUGGCUAUAGUUAACAAUAAUGUGUUGCAUAUUUCAAAAAAGGCUAAAAGAGAGGAAUUUGGAUGUUUUUAUCACAAAGAACUGGUAUGUGGGUGAUGGAUAUCCUAAAUACCCUGAUUGGAUAAUUACACAAUGUGCCCAUGUAUUAAAACAUCACACUGUACUCCAUAAAUAUGUACAAUUAUUAUGUGUCAAUUAAAAAUACAAUAAAAAUUUUUAAAAGAAGAAGGCAUUGAUUUGUAUCAAGUCUUAGAUUUUGGGGAACAUUCUGGUUCAAUACAUACUUCUUUUAGCUAGCCCUCUGUGUUGGCUGCCUAUAAAAUGCUGUUAUUCCUUAUGACUCCAUUCCCUUCUUUUCACCUGUACAUUUUUUUCCUGACUGAUCUCAUCCAUUCUUAUGACUUCAGGUUCUAACCUGGUCCCAAAAACCUUAUUACUAGCAGCUGCCUCCGCUGAGCCCCAGCUGUCUAUAUUGAAUGCCUUCUAGGCAUCUCCUCCUGAACAACUCAUAGUUUAUCAGACUCCAUCACUUUUAGGAAGCCUUCAUCAAGCCCUUCCUCCGAGGCCUACCCUACACCUACCAUCCCCAUACUGGCUAAUAUCCUGUGAUGUAUUUUUAUGUUACUCUGUGCCUAUAAUUUAUUAUUACUGAUAAUAGUCGUGAUGGUUAAUUUCAUGUGACAACUUGAGUGGGCAACGGGGUGUCUAGAUAUUUGUUCAAACAUUAUUCUGAGUGUGUUUGUGAGGAUUGUUAUUGGGUGAGGUUAACAUUUAAAUUGGUAGACUCCAUAAAGCAGAUUUCUCUCUGUAAUGUGGGUGGGCCUCGCCCAAUCAGUUGAAGGCCUGAACAAAAGGUUGACCCUCCCCUGAGUAAGAGAGAAUUCUCCUGCCUGAUGACUUUUGAACUGGUCUAUCAGCUCUUCCUUUCUGGUUCAGACUGCUGGCCUUCAGACUUGACCUGGGACAUUGACUCAGCAGAUGUUGGACUUGUCAGCCUCCAUAAGCACGGUUGCCUUGUGAAAUCAGCAGGAUAUUGCAGAAGUGAUUGUGUUACUUCCAAUGCUAGAUUAUAAAAGACAUUGCAGCUUCUGUCUGGCUUUCUUGGAUUGCUUGUUCUGGGGGAAACCAGCUGCCAUGUCAUGAAGUACCUUCAAGCAUCCCUGGGAGACUCGGUCUAUGUGCAGAGGAACUGAGGCCUCCUGCCAACAGCCAUGUGAAUAAGCCAUAUUGGAAGUGAACCUCCAGCCCCAGUCAAGCCUCCAGGUAAAAAGAUUCUUUUAGGUCUUGUUAUGGAGAGAUAUCUGGAUUGGAUGGACCUCGCCUGGCUUCUGAAGUCAAUAUGCAAGUGUCCAAAGUGGUCAAAACCAGGUAAAGACAGAGAACAACCUGAGGUUUUACCGAGAGGGCAUACCAUAUUCUAUAUCAUCACUCAAUGUCACACUCAAAAUCCCCCCUCCAUUUAUACCCAAACAGUGUUUCUGAAUUGAGCUGGUACACACUUGUCUGUCCCUUUCCUCCAGGUAAAAUGUUUUAGCUUGGUACUUUAAAAGGUAUCCCUCUUACUAGGUACAAUUAUUAAAAUGGGCAAUCAUUAGCUCCAACUGGUCCUGUCUCUUCCUUGAGGGUUAUUAAGCAUGUAUUCAAACAGAGCAAGUGAUGGCCACCCUGAAUACUCUGACAUGCUUUGAUAUGCUUGAGCUCCCUAAACAGGCAGGCUGACUUCUACCAUCCCCUUUGUUCCAUAAACUGAGGGGAGAAUAAUUCUUUUUUUUUUUUUUUCAUUAAGACCUACCUAGGAAAAGUUAGCAGCCUGCUGAUUUUCCCUAAACACCGUGAGUUAUUUUGAAGUCCCCUUAGGUGGCACUGGGGGAGGCUGGCAGAGAAAGGGGCAGAGGGAGUGUUUGGCUCAUGUUUGAGAAUUGUUCUACAAUAAAGAGAUUUUUUAAAAAAUCAGAUUCCUUCUGUAUGUGAUUUUGAUUCAAACACAAAGCUUCUCUUGAAGAAAAAAACCUCCUUAUUGUAUUAACAUUGUGCAUUACCAAGCCUGCAAAUUAAAUUGUAAGAGAAUUGAGAAAAAUAGGGCUAUUAAAAUAUUUGACUUAUUUACAGAAGUUAAAUGAGGAGAAAAAAGACUGUUCCAGCUUCCCCCUACCCCCUAUGCCCUGCUUUGCCAACCCCCUCUGACUCUGACAAGGGAAAUGGUUUUGGAGAUUGGUAUGAGGGGACCUUGGGAACAAGGCCCUGCCAUGGCUGUAAUUAACUGCCAUAUGAACUCUCAGACGAAGUGUGGAGUCUGUCCUCCCUCCUGCCCUACUCCUUUUCAUGACAUUUCAAUUGGAAUCAUUCCAUCCACAGGCACUGAGUUCCUACUAUGUCCAAAGCACUAUGAUUU